Molecule: ribosomal RNA, 253 nt
Filed under: uncultured bacterium
Lineage: Bacteria
Description: partial 16S ribosomal RNA
Rfam family: Bacterial small subunit ribosomal RNA
Source: RNAcentral
UACGUAGGGUGCAAGCGUUGUCCGGAAUUAUUGGGCGUAAAGAGCUCGUAGGCGGUCUGUUGCGUCGGCUGUGAAAACCCGGGGCUCAACCCCGGGCCUGCAGCCGAUACGGGCAGACUAGAGUUCGGCAGGGGAGACUGGAAUUCCUGGUGUAGCGGUGAAAUGCGCAGAUAUCAGGAGGAACACCGGUGGCGAAGGCGGGUCUCUGGGCCGGUACUGACGCUGAUGCGCGAAGGCCAGGGGAGCAAACGGG